RNAcentral lists this ribosomal RNA (515 nucleotides) under alpha proteobacterium OC5. Its description in RNAcentral is "bacterial SSU rRNA". It matches the Rfam family "Bacterial small subunit ribosomal RNA", at positions 30 to 588 of the family's 1533-position model. The record is from RNAcentral. Lineage: Bacteria; Pseudomonadati; Pseudomonadota; Alphaproteobacteria.
CGAACGCUGGCGGCAGGCCUAACACAUGCAAGUCGAACGCAUGCCUUCGGGCAUGAGUGGCGCACGGGUGAGUAACGCGUGGGAACCGACCCUGGGGUUGGGGAUAACCGCUGGAAACGGCGGCUAAUACCCAAUACGCCUUGAGGGGGAAAGAUUUAUCGCCCUGGGACGGGCCCGCGUUGGAUUAGGUAGUUGGUGGGGUAACGGCCUACCAAGCCUACGAUCCAUAGCUGGUUUGAGAGGAUGAUCAGCCACACUGGGACUGAGACACGGCCCAGACUCCUACGGGAGGCAGCAGUGGGGAAUAUUGGACAAUGGGGGCAACCCUGAUCCAGCCAUGCCGCGUGAGUGAAGAAGGCCUUAGGGUUGUAAAGCUCUUUCAGUGGUGAAGAUGAUGACGGUAGCCACAGAAGAAGCCCCGGCUAACUCCCGUGCCAGCAGCCGCGGUAAUACGGAGGGGGCAAGCGUUGUUCGGAAUUACUGGGCGUAAAGGGCGCGUAGGCGGAUAUUCAAGU